Molecule: long non-coding RNA, 547 nt
Organism: Strongylocentrotus purpuratus (purple sea urchin)
Lineage: Eukaryota; Metazoa; Echinodermata; Echinoidea; Camarodonta; Strongylocentrotidae
Exons: 3
Source: RefSeq, a predicted model, not a curated record
CUCUUCAACAUCUCAGGCAAUGUGAACACCCCCUGUACCGUGGAGGAGUCCAAGUCUAUCCCCCUCAAGUUCUUGAUUGAGAAGCACGCUGGUGGUGUAGAGGGGGGUUGGGAUAACCUCUUAGCUGUCAUCCCAGGGGGUUCAUGUACUUCUAUGAUCCCUAAAGAAUCAUCUGCAGGAGGGGAGCUCUGUAGUUCGCUGGCUUCUGACGAGAACAAAACCAAGCCAUCAAACUCUUCAACAUCUCAGGCAAUGUGAACACCCCCUUUACCGUGGAGGAGUCCAAGUCUAUCCCCCUCAAGUUCUUGAUUGAGAAGCAUGCUGGUGGUGUAGAGGGGGGUUGGGAUAACCUCUUAGCUGUCAUCCCAGGGGGUUCAUCUAUUUCUAUGAUCCCUAAAGAGUACCUCAUUUUACAUCUUUGGUAGAUGGAUGGCUCUUUGCACUUUGACCAAUGAGCUUAUCUACAUUUCAUCUAUCAAGCACCGAUGAUUUGAUAUUAUCUCCAGCAAUGCAAUAAUUGAAUAAACCAACCUCACACAACUGAUAA